This 520-nucleotide ribosomal RNA is filed under the name uncultured Glomus. RNAcentral describes it as "SSU rRNA". It matches the Rfam family "Eukaryotic small subunit ribosomal RNA", at positions 569 to 1086 of the family's 1831-position model. Lineage: Eukaryota; Fungi; Glomeromycota; Glomeromycetes; Glomerales; Glomeraceae. The record is from RNAcentral.
AGCAGCCGCGGUAAUUCCAGCUCCAAUAGCGUAUAUUAAAGUUGUUGCAGUUAAAAAAGCUCGUAGUUGAAUUUCGGGAUCAAUUAAUUGGUCGUGCCUCUGGUACGUACUGAUUUUAUUGGUUUCUCCCUUCUGACGAACCAUGAUGUCAUUAAUUUGGUGUCGUGGAGAAUCAGGACUGUUACUUUGAAAAAAUUAGAGUGUUUAAAGCAAGCUAACGCUUGAAUACAUUAGCAUGGAAUAAUGAAAUAGGACGUUUGAUCCUAUUUUGUUGGUUCCUAGGAUCGACGUAAUGAUUAAUAGGGAUAGUUGGGGGCAUUAGUAUUCAAUUGUCAGAGGUGAAAUUCUUGGAUUUAUUGAAGACUAACUACUGCGAAAGCAUUUGCCAAGGAUGUUUUCAUUAAUCAAGAACGAAAGUUAGGGGAUCGAAGACGAUCAGAUACCGUCGUAGUCUUAACCAUAAACUAUGCCGACUAGGGAUCGGAUGAUGUUUAAUUUUUUAAUUGUACUCAUUCGGCGC